RNAcentral lists this ribosomal RNA (459 nucleotides) under uncultured bacterium. RNAcentral describes it as "partial 16S ribosomal RNA". It matches the Rfam family "Bacterial small subunit ribosomal RNA", at positions 28 to 507 of the family's 1533-position model. The record is from RNAcentral.
GACGAACGCUGGCGGCGUGCUUAACACAUGCAAGUCGAACGGAAAGGCCCUGCUUGCAGGGUACUCGAGUGGCGAACGGGUGAGUAACACGUGGGUGAUCUGCCCUGCACUUCGGGAUAAGCAUGGGAAACGGGGUCUAAUACCGGAGAGGAACCAUCUUUAGUGUGGUGGUUGGAAAGUUUUUUCGGUGUAGGAUGAGCUCGCGGCCUAUCAGCUUGUUGGUGGGGUAAUGGCCUACCAAGGCGGCGACGGGUAGCCGGCGUGAGAGGGUGCACGGCCACAUUGGGACUGAGACACGGCCCAGACUCCUACGAGAGGCAGCAGUGGGGAAUCUUAGACAAUGGGGGAAACCCUGAUCUAGCCAUGCCGCGUGAGCGAUGAAGGCCUUAGGGUUGUAAAGCUCUUUCAGCUGGGAAGAUAAUGACGGUACCAGCAGAAGAAGCCCCGGCUAACUCCGUG